This 482-nucleotide ribosomal RNA is filed under the name uncultured bacterium. Its description in RNAcentral is "bacterial SSU rRNA". It matches the Rfam family "Bacterial small subunit ribosomal RNA", at positions 30 to 506 of the family's 1533-position model. The record is from RNAcentral.
UUGAACGCUGGCGGCAUGCCUUACACAUGCAAGUCGAACGGCAGCACGGGAGCAAUCCUGGUGGCGAGUGGCGAACGGGUGAGUAAUAUAUCGGAACGUGCCCAGUAGUGGGGGAUAGCCCGGCGAAAGCCGGAUUAAUACCGCAUACGACCUGAGGGUGAAAGCGGGGGAUCGCAAGACCUCGCGCUAUUGGAGCGGCCGAUAUCAGAUUAGCUAGUUGGUGGGGUAAAGGCCUACCAAGGCUACGAUCUGUAGUUGGUCUGAGAGGACGACCAGCCACACUGGGACUGAGACACGGCCCAGACUCCUACGGGAGGCAGCAGUGGGGAAUUUUGGACAAUGGGCGCAAGCCUGAUCCAGCAAUGCCGCGUGCAGGAAGAAGGCCUUCGGGUUGUAAACUGCUUUUGUCAGGGAAGAAAUCUUCUGGGCUAAUACCCCGGGAGGAUGACGGUACCUGAAGAAUAAGCACCGGCUAACUACGU